CCUACGGGGGGCAGCAGUGGGGAAUAUUGGGCAAUGGAGGAAACUCUGACCCAGCAACGCCGCGUGAAUGAUGAAGGUCUUCGGAUUGUAAAGUUCUUUUCUAAGGGAAGAAGAAAGUGACGGUACCUUAGGAAUAAGCCUCGGCUAACUACGUGCCAGCAGCCGCGGUAAUACGUAGGAGGCAAGCGUUAUCCGGAAUGACUGGGCGUAAAGGGUGCGGAGGUGGUUUGACAAGUUGGUAGCGUAACUCCGAGGCUUAACCUCGGCACUACUACCAAAACUGUUGGACUCGAGUGCAGGAGGCGCAAGUGGAAUUCGUGGUGUAGCGGUGGAAUGCGUAGAUAUUAGGAAGAACACCAAUGGCGAAGGCGAUUUGCUGGACUGUAACUGACACUGAGGCACGAAGGCGUGGGGAGCGAACAGGAUUAGAUACCCGAGUAGUC
Molecule: ribosomal RNA, 443 nt
Filed under: uncultured bacterium
Lineage: Bacteria
Description: partial 16S ribosomal RNA
Rfam family: Bacterial small subunit ribosomal RNA
Source: RNAcentral